This 54-nucleotide transfer RNA is filed under the name Aspidoscelis exsanguis. Its description in RNAcentral is "tRNA-Cys". Lineage: Eukaryota; Metazoa; Chordata; Lepidosauria; Squamata; Teiidae. The record is from RNAcentral.
AGCUCCGUACAGACGAACUGCAAAUUCAGACAAGCACUCAAAGGUGCCGGGGCU